UACGAAGGGGGCUAGCGUUGUUCGGAAUCACUGGGCGUAAAGCGCACGUAGGCGGACACUUAAGUCAGAGGUGAAAUCCCAAGGCUCAACCUUGGAACUGCCUUUGAUACUGGGUGUCUUGAGGUCGAGAGAGGUGAGUGGAACUGCGAGUGUAGAGGUGAAAUUCGUAGAUAUUCGCAAGAACACCAGUGGCGAAGGCGGCUCACUGGCUCGAUUCUGACGCUGAGGUGCGAAAGCGUGGGGAGCAAAC
Molecule: ribosomal RNA, 250 nt
Filed under: uncultured Hansschlegelia sp.
Lineage: Bacteria; Pseudomonadati; Pseudomonadota; Alphaproteobacteria; Hyphomicrobiales; Methylopilaceae
Description: partial 16S ribosomal RNA
Rfam family: Bacterial small subunit ribosomal RNA
Source: RNAcentral